This 830-nucleotide ribosomal RNA is filed under the name uncultured bacterium. Its description in RNAcentral is "bacterial SSU rRNA". It matches the Rfam family "Bacterial small subunit ribosomal RNA", at positions 60 to 862 of the family's 1533-position model. The record is from RNAcentral.
AGUUCUCGUUGAUGAUUGGUGCUUGCACCGAGAUUCAACAUCGAACGAGUGGCGGACGGGUGAGUAACACGUGGGUAACCUGCCCUUAAGUGGGGGAUAACAUUUAGAAACAGAUGCUAAUACCGCAUAGAUCCAAGAACCGCAUGGUUCUUGGCUGAAAGAUGGCGUAAGCUAUCGCUUUUGGAUGGACCCGCGGCGUAUUAGCUAGUUGGUGAGGUAACGGCUCACCAAGGCGAUGAUACGUAGCCGAACUGAGAGGUUGAUCGGCCACAUUGGGACUGAGACACGGCCCAAACUCCUACGGGAGGCAGCAGUAGGGAAUCUUCCACAAUGGACGCAAGUCUGAUGGAGCAACGCCGCGUGAGUGAAGAAGGCUUUCGGGUCGUAAAACUCUGUUGUUGGAGAAGAAUGGUCGGCAGAGUAACUGUUGCCGGCGUGACGGUAUCCAACCAGAAAGCCACGGCUAACUACGUGCCAGCAGCCGCGGUAAUACGUAGGUGGCAAGCGUUAUCCGGAUUUAUUGGGCGUAAAGCGAGCGCAGGCGGUUUUUUAAGUCUGAUGUGAAAGCCCUCGGCUUAACCGAGGAAGCGCAUCGGAAACUGGGAAACUUGAGUGCAGAAGAGGACAGUGGAACUCCAUGUGUAGCGGUGAAAUGCGUAGAUAUAUGGAAGAACACCAGUGGCGAAGGCGGCUGUCUGGUCUGUAACUGACGCUGAGGCUCGAAAGCAUGGGUAGCGAACAGGAUUAGAUACCCUGGUAGUCCAUGCCGUAAACGAUGAAUGCUAGGUGUUGGAGGGUUUCCGCCCUUCAGUGCCGCAGCUAACGCAUUA